Ipomoea nil (Japanese morning glory) is the source of this 1543-nucleotide RNA transcript. It is a transcript of the gene named F-box/FBD/LRR-repeat protein At1g13570-like, with no coding region annotated. NCBI's taxonomy places the organism in Eukaryota, Viridiplantae, Streptophyta, Magnoliopsida, Solanales, Convolvulaceae. The transcript is spliced from 4 exons. The record is from RefSeq and is a predicted model, not a curated record.
UUCCGUCACUUUUCCCCCAAUCUCUGUUUUCUUUCCAACUCUUCCUAAUUUCCUUUUAUUUACGAAAUACGAAAUCUUGCAGUUGAAGAAUACAACGGUUUUAGCUUUUGAUUUCGACUGAAGCCUCCUUAUUCUAUCAAUUUAAUGGCUCAACGUCGGCCACUCAAAACCGUAGCGGAUGCAAGUAGGGAUUUAAUAAGUGAGCUGCCAGUAGAGGUAAUGGACAGAAUUUUGGAGUGUUUGCCCACCCGAGACGCCGCCAGAACUGCUCAGCUCUCAAGGCACUGGAAUAAUGUUUGGUUGCAGCAUGGGCGGCUUGCGUUUGAUUGGGAAUUCUUGCUGACUGUCCAAGAGUGCCAAGAUGAUUAUGGUAGAGCGCUCAUGAACAUAAUCAAUAAUAUCCUCUUUUCCCGUGCUUGGCCGGUUAAGAAAUUUACUCUACAGAUUUCAUGUGCUGAUCCUAAACCGCGGCAGUAUGAUGUUGAUAGGUGGUGUCGUUUUCUGUCAACGAAUGGUGUGGAGGAACAGAACAUAUCUUUAUAUAAGUAUCUAGAGCCAAAAUAUCAGUUGCCAUUUUGUUUACUCUCUUGCAGCAUAAUUAAGCAACUGAUAGUCCAAGGUCCCUUUAUUGAUUUUCCUGUAAAUGCUUGUGAUAUAUUUUCCAAUGUCACUUCAUUAGCUUUCUUGCAUGUUGAAUUUAAGCACAGUGUUGAUGGAAUUGCCUCUAGUAUUAGUAUUCCUAAGCUUGAGAAGCUGGCUUUUGAGCAUUGUAUAGGGAUCAGUGAGUUUGAGAUCAGCCCUCCAAAGCUUGCAAUUUUGUCUGUUAUUGGUUCUAUGUAUGGUCUGGUUGAAUGGACGAGAUGGUUGGCACCACAUUUGAAAACCAUUAAGAGUCUUUGGUUGUGUGGCUCUUCGUUGUCGUGUAUGGAUGCAUCUACGUUUCCAAUUGCAAUAAAUCUGCAAGUGAUGAAGCUAUAUGAUUUAAAUUUUGGUUGUUGGAAGCAGCUCGCCUUUGUUAUGCAAUUGCUUACAAAAUGCCCCAACCUAUGUGAACUGCAUGUUAUGGUGAAUAAGGGCUGGGAGGAUGAUGACAAAAAAGCUGCUUCAAGGCUUUUGGAGGAUCCGGAUGGUUGCUUAGCUAUUCAGGAGCUAAAGAUUCAGAUGCUUAACACAAUCCAGAUUGAAUCAUUCAAUGGAUCUGCAUUCGAAAUGUUUUUUAUGAAAUUGCUGCUCUCAAAAUUCCCUGCGCUAGAGAGAGUUGUUAUUAUGAAGCGUUGGGAUAUGAAUGCCUCCAAGGUGAGAAAAAUCCAAAGGAAGUUGGAAUGCUUCCCUCGUGUAUCUCCAAAUGCACAAAUUGUCUGCCCGGACAAUUACUAUGAGCCUAUGCAUAAGGACUGGUUGGAUACCCAUGGUUUUAGGCUUAUCCACCCUUAUUAGUAUGGCGAAUAUAAUCUCCAUAUGUACAAUUUGGGUGCAACUUUGAAAUGUAAGGAAUGGUUUGUUGGAAUUUGAAAUGUUUUCUAAGUUGUUCAGCAUGAGGUAU